Molecule: ribosomal RNA, 370 nt
Filed under: uncultured organism
Description: bacterial SSU rRNA
Rfam family: Bacterial small subunit ribosomal RNA
Source: RNAcentral
CGUAGGGUGCAAGCGUUAAUCGGAAUUACUGGGCGUAAAGCGUGCGCAGGCGGUUAUGUAAGACAGUUGUGAAAUCCCCGGGCUCAUCCUGGGAACUGCAUCUGUGACUGCAUAGCUAGAGUACGGUAGAGGGGGAUGGAAUUCCGCGUGUAGCAGUGAAAUGCGUAGAUAUGCGGAGGAACACCGAUGGCGAAGGCAAUCCCCUGGACCUGUACUGACGCUCAUGCACGAAAGCGUGGGGAGCAAACAGGAUUAGAUACCCUGGUAGUCCACGCCCUAAACGAUGUCAACUGGUUGUUGGGUCUUCACUGACUCAGUAACGAAGCUAACGCGUGAAGUUGACCGCCUGGGGAGUACGGCCGCAAGGUUG